RNAcentral lists this non-coding RNA (29 nucleotides) under Mus musculus (house mouse). Lineage: Eukaryota; Metazoa; Chordata; Mammalia; Rodentia; Muridae. The record is from RNAcentral.
UUUAAUCACAGCACUAGGGAAACAGAAGC